UAGGGUAGGCUGAAACAAGGAAAAUAAAAAUCAAAGUAUGUGUGGCGUUUUUGGGGGGUAGAAGGAAUGGUAGAAUGAAUGGAUGUUCGGAAGUAACAAAAAAUGAUAACAAAAUAAAACUCACAAGAAUUUUCACUUUUUUUUUUGAUUUUUUUUACUUCGUACUCUUUUUUUUAUUCUAAUUUUUUUUCUUUUUUUCAUAAUAUCCUUUUUUUUCAAUUACAAUAGAUGAAAUACAAAGAAAAAAAUU
RNAcentral lists this long non-coding RNA (250 nucleotides) under Gossypium raimondii (Peruvian cotton). RNAcentral describes it as "long non-coding RNA (GRAI_LNC005621)". The record is from RNAcentral. Lineage: Eukaryota; Viridiplantae; Streptophyta; Magnoliopsida; Malvales; Malvaceae.